RNAcentral lists this small RNA (281 nucleotides) under Mammaliicoccus lentus. RNAcentral describes it as "5' ureB small RNA". It matches the Rfam family "5' ureB small RNA". Lineage: Bacteria; Bacillati; Bacillota; Bacilli; Caryophanales; Staphylococcaceae. The record is from RNAcentral.
UGCUCGGGGUUUACGAAGUGAACGUGUGUAUCAAUUGCACCAGCAGUUAUAAUUUUACCUUCUGCUGCAAUAACAUCCGUUGAUGCACCGAUAAUAAUAUCGACAUUAUCCAUAAUGUCAGGGUUACCGGCUUUUCCAAUUUUCAUAAUAUAACCGUUUUUAAUCCCCACGUCUCCUUUGAUUACUUUGUCAUAAUCAAGGAUAAGUGCGUUUGUAAUAACUAAAUCGGCUACUUUCUUGUCAUCUCUUGUUACAUUUGGGUUUUGAGCCAUACCAUCUCU